ACUUCCGGGGCAGCGCGGCAUGGCGGCGGGGAGGGCGGUGAGCGGGGCCGGGUGGAGCGGGGUUCUGUCCUGGGAACGGGGUCGGGCUUCAGUCCGGGGGCAUCGAGGGGCUCUCGGGAGAGGAGCUCGCGGUGCUGCCGGUCACCGAGAGGCAGGUCCCGGCUCGCAGGCGGGCUGCGUGGCCUCGCGAGAGCUGUGGGUGCCGGAGCGCAGGCCGGGGCGAGCGGGGCGGCUCCCAGGCGGCGCCGCUGCUGCCUUGGGCAGGGCGGUGGCAGCCCCGUGCUCCGUCGUGCGGCGGGAGCUCUCGUGUUUUGUCGCUCUUCGUUGGUGUCUGAAAGAGGACUCCCCGUUGGAAUUUGUACCGA
Molecule: long non-coding RNA, 365 nt
Organism: Gallus gallus (chicken)
Lineage: Eukaryota; Metazoa; Chordata; Aves; Galliformes; Phasianidae
Exons: 2
Source: RefSeq, a predicted model, not a curated record